This 468-nucleotide ribosomal RNA is filed under the name uncultured bacterium. RNAcentral's name for it is "partial 16S ribosomal RNA". It matches the Rfam family "Bacterial small subunit ribosomal RNA", at positions 28 to 507 of the family's 1533-position model. The record is from RNAcentral.
GACGAACGCUGGCGGCGUGCUUAACACAUGCAAGUCGAACGGAAAGGCCCUGCUUUUGUGGGGUGCUCGAGUGGCGAACGGGUGAGUAACACGUGAGUAACCUGCCCUUGACUUUGGGAUAACUUCAGGAAACUGGGGCUAAUACCGGAUAGGAGCUCCUGCUGCAUGGUGGGGGUUGGAAAGUUUCGGCGGUUGGGGAUGGUCUCGCGGCUUAUCAGCUUGUUGGUGGGGUAGUGGCUUUCCAAGGCUUUGACGGGUAGCCGGCCUGAGAGGGUGACCGGCCACAUUGGGACUGAGAGACGGCCCAGACUCCUACGGGAGGCAGCAGUGGAGAAUAUUGCACAAUGGGCGGAAGCCUGAUGCAGCAACGCCGCGUGCGGGAUGACGGCCUUCGGGUUGUAAACCGCUUUCGCCUGUGACGAAGCGUGAGUGACGGUAAUGGGUAAAGAAGCACCGGCUAACUACGUG